This 148-nucleotide ribosomal RNA is filed under the name Corynebacterium diphtheriae. The record is from RNAcentral. Lineage: Bacteria; Bacillati; Actinomycetota; Actinomycetes; Mycobacteriales; Corynebacteriaceae.
GUUGGUGGUUAUUGUGUCGGGGGUACGACCGUUCCAUUUCCGAACCCGGAGGCUAAGCCCCAUUGCGCUGACGAACCCGGAAGCUAAGCCCGAUUGCGCUGAUGGUACUGCACCUGGGAGGGUGUGGGAGAGUAGGUCGCCGCCAACC